RNAcentral lists this long non-coding RNA (292 nucleotides) under Panax ginseng (ginseng). RNAcentral describes it as "long non-coding RNA (PGIN_LNC003643)". The record is from RNAcentral. Lineage: Eukaryota; Viridiplantae; Streptophyta; Magnoliopsida; Apiales; Araliaceae.
CUCCUCAUCGCUGCCCCUGGGGUUAUCUGUGGGGUUUAUUUGAGCGCUGGUUUCACCAGACUCAAUCUCUCCAUUUACUGGACUAUGAGGUGAUGAUGACACCGAUGGACUGGCGGUUCAUCACUGGAUUGGAGUUUACAGGAGAGUCGGUGCCUUUAGUGGCUAACAUUUCACUGGCUGCAUUUCGAUCCCUAUUAGGAGUUCCUCCUUUGGCCCUCAAGGGUCAAGGUGUUCAUUUUAGCCCUUUUAACAUUGAUGCUUCGAGUGGAGCUUUGUCCGAGCCUCUUUAUGC